This 351-nucleotide ribosomal RNA is filed under the name uncultured Desulfitibacter sp. RNAcentral's name for it is "bacterial SSU rRNA". It matches the Rfam family "Bacterial small subunit ribosomal RNA", at positions 1032 to 1382 of the family's 1533-position model. The record is from RNAcentral. Lineage: Bacteria; Bacillati; Bacillota; Clostridia; Neomoorellales; Desulfitibacteraceae.
AGACAGGUGGUGCUAUGGUUGUCGUCAGCUCGUGUCGUGAGAUGUUGGGUUAAGUCCCGCAACGACGCGCAACCCUACCCUUAGUUGUCCAGCGGGUCAUGCCGGGCACUCUAAAGGAACUGCCAGCGUAAGCUGGAGGAAGUGGGGAUGACGUCAAAUCAUCAUGCCCUUUAUGUCCUGGGCUACACACGUGCUACAAUGGUCGGUACAGAGGGCUGCAAAGGAGCGAUCCGGAGCUAAUCCCAAAAAGCCGGCCUCAGUUCGGAUAGAAGGCUGCAACUCGCCUUCUUGAAGUCGGAAUCGCUAGUAAUCGCAGGUCAGCAUACUGCGGUGAAUACGUUCCCGGGCCUU